UGAGGAAUAUUGGUCAAUGGACGCAAGUCUGAACCAGCCAAGUAGCGUGCAGGAUGACGGCCCUAUGGGUUGUAAACUGCUUUUAUAUGGGGAUAAAGUGGGGAACGUGUUCCCUUUUGCAGGUACCAUAUGAAUAAGGACCGGCUAAUUCCGUGCCAGCAGCCGCGGUAAUACGGAAGGUUCGGGCGUUAUCCGGAUUUAUUGGGUUUAAAGGGAGCGUAGGCCGUUUGGUAAGCGUGUUGUGAAAUGUAGGAGCUCAACUUCUAGAUUGCAGCGCGAACUGUCAGACUUGAGUGCGCACAACGUAGGCGGAAUUCAUGGUGUAGCGGUGAAAUGCUUAGAUAUCGGGAAGAACACCGAUGGCGAAGGCAGCCUGCUGGGCCGGCACUGACGCUGAGGCGCGAAAGCUAGGGGAGCGAACAGG
This 424-nucleotide ribosomal RNA is filed under the name Verrucomicrobiota bacterium. RNAcentral's name for it is "Verrucomicrobia bacterium partial 16S ribosomal RNA". It matches the Rfam family "Bacterial small subunit ribosomal RNA", at positions 355 to 776 of the family's 1533-position model. The record is from RNAcentral. Lineage: Bacteria; Pseudomonadati; Verrucomicrobiota.